Molecule: ribosomal RNA, 1020 nt
Filed under: Streptomyces sp.
Lineage: Bacteria; Bacillati; Actinomycetota; Actinomycetes; Kitasatosporales; Streptomycetaceae
Description: bacterial SSU rRNA
Rfam family: Bacterial small subunit ribosomal RNA
Source: RNAcentral
UAACUACGUGCCAGCCAGCCGCGGUAAUACGUAGGGCGCGAGCGUUGUCCGGAAUUAUGAGCGUAAAGAGCUCGUAGGCGGCCUUGUCACGUCGGUGGUGAAAGCCCGGGGCUUAACCCCGGGUCUGCAGUCGAUACGGGCAGGCUAGAGUUCGGUAGGGGAGAUCGGAUUUCUUGGUGUAGCGGUGAAAUGCGCAGAUAUCAGGAGGAACACCGGUGGCGAAGGCGGAUCUCUGGGCCGUUACUGACGCUGAGGAGCGAAAGCGUGGGGAGCGAACAGGAUUAGAUACCCUGGUAGUCCACGCCGUAAACGGUGGGCAUUAGGUGUGGGCAACAUUCCACGUGGUCGGUGCGGCAGUUAACGCAUUAAGUGCCCCGCCUGGGGAGUACGGCCGCAAGGUUAAAAUUCAAAGGAAUUGACGGGGGCCCGCACAAGCGGCGGAGCAUGUGGCUUAAUUGGACGCAACGGGAAGACCCUUACCAAGGCUUGACAUCCACCGGAAACCUUUGGAGAUAGUCCCCCCCUUGUGGUCGGUGUCCAGGUGGUGCAUGGCUGUCGUCAGUUCGUGUCGUGAGAUGUUGGGUUAAGUCCCGCAACGAGCGCAACCCUUGUCCCGUGUUGCCAGCAGGCCCUUGUGGUGAUGGGGACUCACGGGAGACCGCCGGGGUCAACUCGGAGGAAGGUGGGGACGACGUCAAGUCAUCAUGCCCCUUAUGUCUUGGGCUGCACACGUGCUACAAUGGCAGGUACAAUGAGCUGCGAUACCGCGAGGUGGAGCGAAUCUCAAAAAGCCGGUCUCAGUUCGGAUUGGGGUCUGCAACUCGACCCCAUGAAGUCGGAGUCGCUAGUAAUCGCAGAUCAGCAUUGCUGCGGUGAAUACGUUCCCGGGCCUUGUACACACCGCCCGUCACGUCACGAAAGUCGGUAACACCCGAAGCCGGUGGCCCAACCCCUUGUGGGAGGGAGCUGUCGAAGGUGGGACUGGCGAUUGGGACGAAGUCGUAGCAAGAGCUGCCGGGG